AAAUCCUUCUUAUACUAAGAUUCUCCUCUCAUAUGGGCCGAUCAACAUCUAGAAUGGUGCUAGUUUGGGGCAUCCCAUCUGGGUGAGGGAUUGGGUGCAAAGUGGUUGUCAUAAGUGAUGGCAAUUCUAUCUCAUGUAAGAAUCAUUCUUUCCUGAGUAUUGGAUUGAUUCAAAUCAGAUUUGAGUUAGGAGUCCUAUACUUAUUAAGUCA
Molecule: long non-coding RNA, 211 nt
Filed under: Elaeis guineensis (African oil palm)
Lineage: Eukaryota; Viridiplantae; Streptophyta; Magnoliopsida; Arecales; Arecaceae
Description: long non-coding RNA (EGUI_LNC020235)
Source: RNAcentral